RNAcentral lists this ribosomal RNA (416 nucleotides) under uncultured bacterium. RNAcentral describes it as "bacterial SSU rRNA". It matches the Rfam family "Bacterial small subunit ribosomal RNA", at positions 28 to 437 of the family's 1533-position model. The record is from RNAcentral.
GACGAACGCUGGCGGCGUGCCUAACACAUGCAAGUCGAGCGGAGACAGUGAGUAGCUUGCUAUGAGCUGUUUUAGCGGCGGACGGGUGAGUAACGCGUGAGCAACCUUUCCCAGACAGGGGAAUAACACACCGAAAGGUGUACUAAUACCGCAUAAGACCACGGAAUCACAUGGUUCUGAGGUGAAAGAUUUAUCGGUUUGGGGUGGGCUCGCGUCCGAUUAGGUAGUUGGUGAGGUAACGGCCCACCAAGCCGACGAUCGGUAGCCGACCUGAGAGGGUGAUCGGCCACAUUGGGACUGAGACACGGCCCAAACUCCUACGGGAGGCAGCAGUGGGGAAUAUUGGGCAAUGGAGGAAACUCUGACCCAGCAACGCCGCGUGGAGGAAGAAGGUUUUCGGAUCGUAAACUCCUGUC